Molecule: ribosomal RNA, 253 nt
Filed under: uncultured bacterium
Lineage: Bacteria
Description: partial 16S ribosomal RNA
Rfam family: Bacterial small subunit ribosomal RNA
Source: RNAcentral
UACGUAGGGGGCAAGCGUUGUCCGGAAUUACUGGGCGUAAAGCGUGCGUAGGUGGUGAGUUAAGUCUGUCGUGAAAGCCCCGGGCUCAACCUGGGAAUGGCGAUGGAUACUGGCUCGCUAGAGUGCGGUAGAGGAGAGUGGAAUUCCCGGUGUAGCAGUGAAAUGCGUAGAGAUCGGGAGGAACAUCAGUUGCGAAGGCGGCUCUCUGGACCAGCACUGACACUGAGGCACGAAAGCGUGGGGAGCAAACAGG